This 1321-nucleotide long non-coding RNA is filed under the name Homo sapiens (human). Its description in RNAcentral is "HSALNT0301253". The record is from RNAcentral. Lineage: Eukaryota; Metazoa; Chordata; Mammalia; Primates; Hominidae.
CUGUAAAACCGACCAGUCGGCUCUCUGUAAAAUGGACCAAUCAGCAGGAUGUGGGUGGGGCCAGAUAAGGGAAUAAAAGCAGGCUGCGGGAGGUAGCAGUGGUAACGCGGUGGGGUUGAUCUUCCAUGGUGUGAAGACUUCGUUCUUUCGCUCUUUGCAAUGACUCUUGGUGCUACUCACUCUGGGUUCACGCUGCCUUUAUGAGUUGUGAGACUCACCGCGAAGGUCUGUAGCUUCACAGCUGAAGCCAUCGAGACCACGAACCCACCAGGAGGAACGAACAACUCCAGAAGCACCGCCUUAAAAGCUGUAACACCCACCGCGAAGAUCUGCAGGUUCACUCCUGAGCUGCCGAGACCACGAACCCACCGGAAGAAAGAAACUUCGAACACAUCCGAACAUGAGAAAUAACAAACUCCAGAUACGCGUCUUUUAAGAACUGUAGCAAUCACCGUGAGGGUCCGCGGCUUCAUUCUUGAAGUGAGACCAAGAACCCACCAAUUCCGGACGCAACUGCCCUCCAGCCUGGGCGACAGAGCGAGACUCCGUCUCAAAAAAAAAAAAAAAAAAAAAAAAAAAAAACAGAAACAAUCCCACCCAGCUUUAGCAAGUCGGAGGAGAAGUGAAGACCAGAAUUAGAGUGGUUAUCUAAAGACAGAUUUGAAUCUGGGGUUUAGAAGAAAACAGCGGUGUUACAAAUGAAAACAAAAUGGGUCCUGUCUGAGAAGCCCCAGGAGAGAACACCUAUAUUAUUAAAGGAAGCAUGGACACUAGCGCCAAACACUGCGUAUCACCACCAGCCCCACGGCCACCAGCUGCUCAGGGAUGUGCCAUCUUGCUGAAGCCUCUGCCUCUGCCAGACUGGGUUCCUCCAGGGCCUCUGCUUUUGCACCCCCAGCUCCUAGUUCCAAGCCUGGUGUGGGUGCAUGUGAUGGGCAGGGACUGGAUCCCAUGCCUGUAAGCUAGUGACAAGAGAGUCAGGAAAACUGACGUGGGGCUUUCAGCAACUACAGUGGGAGGCUUCCACUAGAAGGGAAUUGGGAUGCUGAGAAGCUAAAGAGACUGACAAAUGUGCACUAGAUUAAGAAAUAGAAAAAUAAAUUACGAUACCUGAAUACAAGUGAGAUAUUGUAAGGGAGCAGAAUCUAAAUCUACAAACUUGGUUUUUCUAUCGAUACAUGAUUUUUAUUCCAAGUGCUCAGCUGGAGUGGGAGUAGUUAUGGCAAAUUAAUCUCAGGGAGUUGUGAUUCUUCUGUGGGGUGUAUCUAAAUUUUGGGGUCUUACACAGUGCAACAGCAAGGACCCUCUGCUGUAAAUUGGC